This 301-nucleotide ribosomal RNA is filed under the name uncultured bacterium. Its description in RNAcentral is "partial 16S ribosomal RNA". It matches the Rfam family "Bacterial small subunit ribosomal RNA", at positions 509 to 807 of the family's 1533-position model. The record is from RNAcentral.
CAGUCGCCGCGGGAAAACGUAGGGUGCAAGCGUUGUCCGGAAUUAUUGGGCGUAAAGAGCUCGUAGGCGGCUUGUCGCGUCGGAUGUGAAAGCCCGGGGCUUAACUCCGGGUCUGCAUUCGAUACGGGCAGGCUGGAGUGUGGUAGGGGAGAUCGGAAUUCCUGGUGUAGCGGUGAAAUGCGUGGAGAUCAAGAGGAACACUCGUGGCGAAGGCGAGCUACUGGACAAUAACUGACGCUGAGGCUCGAGGGCCAGGGUAGCGAAAGGGAUUAGAUACCCGAGUAGUCCCUGUCUCUUAUAC